CCUACGGGAGGCUGCAGUAGGGAAUAUUGCUCAAUGGGGGAAACCCUGAAGCAGCAACGCCGCGUGGAGGAUGAAGGUUUUCGGAUUGUAAAUUCCUUUUGUUAGAGAAGAUAAUGACGGUAUCUAACGAAUAAGCACCGGCUAACUCCGUGCAAGCAGCCGCGGUAAUCCGGAGGGUGCAAGCGUUACGCGGAAUCACGGGGCGUAAAGAGCGCGGAGGCGGGAUAGCAAGUCAGAUGUGAAAUCCUAUGGCUUAACCAUAGAACUGCAUUUGAAACUGUUAUUCUAGAGUAUGGGAGAGGUAGGUGGAAUUCUUGGUGUAGGGGUAAAAUCCGUAGAGAUCAAGAGGAAUACUCAUUGCGAAGGCGACCUGCUAGAACAUAACUGACGCUGAUGCGCGAAAGCGUGGGGAGUAAACAGGAUUAGAUACCCCUGUAGUC
Molecule: ribosomal RNA, 440 nt
Filed under: uncultured bacterium
Lineage: Bacteria
Description: partial 16S ribosomal RNA
Rfam family: Bacterial small subunit ribosomal RNA
Source: RNAcentral